UACGGAGGAUGCGAGCGUUAUCCGGAUUUAUUGGGUUUAAAGGGUGCGUAGGCGAACUGUCAAGUCAGCGGUAAAAUUGAGAGGCUCAACCUCUUCCCGCCGUUGAAACUGGUGGUCUUGAGUGGAUGAGAAGUACGCGGAAUGCGUGGUGUAGCGGUGAAAUGCAUAGAUAUCACGCAGAACUCCGAUUGCGAAGGCAGCGUACCGGCAUCCAACUGACGCUGAGGCACGAAAGCGUGGGGAUCAAACAGG
This 252-nucleotide ribosomal RNA is filed under the name uncultured bacterium. Its description in RNAcentral is "partial 16S ribosomal RNA". It matches the Rfam family "Bacterial small subunit ribosomal RNA", at positions 524 to 776 of the family's 1533-position model. The record is from RNAcentral.